GACGAACGCUGGCGGCGUGCUUAACACAUGCAAGUCGAACGGAAAGGCCCUCACUUCUUUGGCUGGGGUGUUCGAGUGGCCAACGGGUGAGGAACACGUUGGUGAUCUGCCCUUUACUGCGGGAUAAGCUAGGGAAACUGAGUCUAAUACCGGAUAGGACCAUGGGUUAGAGUCACAUGGUGGACAAAUUAUUGUUGUGGUGCAGGAUGGGCUCGCGGCUUAUUAGCUGGCUGGUGGAGUAAUGGCCUACCAAGGCGUCGGCGGGUAGCCGGCCUGAGUGGUUGGCCACACGGGUUCUGAGACACGGUCGACACUCAUACGGAAGGGAGGAGGCGGGAAGAUUGGACGAUGGACGGAAGCAUGCCCGAUGCAGCGAGGCUGGGUGGAGAAGGACGUCCGUCGGGUAAUAACCUCUUUUCGUUAAGAACGGCGCCGCACUUUUAUUGCGUGGUGUUGCCGUUACCUAGUGAAGAAGCACCGGCUAACUACGUG
RNAcentral lists this ribosomal RNA (492 nucleotides) under uncultured bacterium. Its description in RNAcentral is "partial 16S ribosomal RNA". It matches the Rfam family "Bacterial small subunit ribosomal RNA", at positions 28 to 507 of the family's 1533-position model. The record is from RNAcentral.